This is a non-coding RNA of Oncorhynchus mykiss (rainbow trout), 749 nucleotides long. The record is from RefSeq and is a predicted model, not a curated record. NCBI's taxonomy places the organism in Eukaryota, Metazoa, Chordata, Actinopteri, Salmoniformes, Salmonidae.
AAUGAGAACUUGUUCUCAACUUGCCUACCUGGUUAAAUAAAGGUGAAAUAAAUAAAUAACAAUUAUAGUAAAAAAAUGAUGUAGCUAGCUAGUUAUAUCUCUGAAAGGCAUGUUGUUACUUUUUUUUUCAGUUGCCCAUUAAGUCCAUGCGGGAUCAGAAAAAGGAGAAGGGAUCAUGUCAAAUGUCUCAACCUCGGUGAUAGCUCAGCCAUCACCAUCUGAUUAUAUACAGAUGUUUCAAGACAUGUUGAGUCAAAGCUGAUCUACUCCAACAGCUGACUGCAGUUAUUGUCUUUUCUGUGCAGUUUUAUUUAAUAGAGAAUACAUCUAAAUGUUACAUGAAAAAAUGCCCAAAUAGCUGGUGGAUUAGAUUUUUUUUGUUUUGUUGAUCAACCUCACAUGCUGCAGAGUAGACUGGAUUUAUCUGAGUGCUAACCUCUAUUCAUGGGUAUGCUGAUGAGGAUAUAAGGAUGGAAUACAUGUCAACAACUCCGACUCAAUCAAGGGAAGCGGUCACCCAGCAAAUACAAACUGGACAAAGAAUACAACUUCCUAUCUGGUGUCAAACAUUAAGCCCUCGUGGAUGGUAGGGCUUUCUGCUUCAGAUUAAGCAAUAGAAGCUCUGAGAUCCCCAAACAAGAGAUGACAAUCUGGCUGUAAAGACUUGAAGAUAGUUUGGAGCCCUAUAACACAUUUACUAAGUUAUUUUGUUGCUUCUGCCUUUGUUAUUUGUCAAUAAAUCUAGAUUA